RNAcentral lists this ribosomal RNA (336 nucleotides) under uncultured bacterium. Its description in RNAcentral is "bacterial SSU rRNA". It matches the Rfam family "Bacterial small subunit ribosomal RNA", at positions 458 to 793 of the family's 1533-position model. The record is from RNAcentral.
UAGCAUAUCAUUUGACGUUAGCUGCAGAAGAAGCACCGGCUAACUCCGUGCCAGCAGCGCGGGUAAUACGGAGGGUGCGAGCGUUAAUCGGAAUUACUGGGCGUAAAGCGCAUGCAGGUGGUUUGUUAAGUCAGAUGUGAAAGCCCGGGGCUCAACCUCGGAAUUGCAUUUGAAACUGGCAAACUAGAGUACUGUAGAGGGGGGUAGAAUUUUCAGGUGUAGCGGUGAAAUGCGUAGAGAUCUGAAGGAAUACCGGUGGCGAAGGCGGCCCCCUGGACAGAUACUGACACUCAGAUGCGAAAGCGUGGGGAGCAAACAGGAUUAGAUACCCUGUAG